Molecule: ribosomal RNA, 1727 nt
Filed under: Paratomella rubra
Lineage: Eukaryota; Metazoa; Xenacoelomorpha; Acoela; Paratomellidae
Description: SSU rRNA
Rfam family: Eukaryotic small subunit ribosomal RNA
Source: RNAcentral
GGUUGAUCCUGCCAGUAGCAUANGCUUGUCUCAAAGAUUAAGCCAUGCAUGUUUAUGUUCAGUACAGAACAGCGAAACCGCGAAUGGCUCAUUAAAUCAGUCUUGGUUUAUUCGAUACAAACCUUACUUGGAUAACUGUGGUAACCUAAGCUAAUACAUGCCAUAAGGGUACAUCAUUGCCCGGCUUUUAUUAGGCAUAACUGAAGCGGCGUCUCGCCGAACAGGUUGACUCCAAAUAACUGCAAGACCGCGAAGGCCUUCGUGCCAGCGGCAAAUCGUUCAAGUGUCUGCCCUAUCAACUUUGGACGGUAGUGUACCGGACUACCGUGGUUGUAACGGGUAACGGGGAAUCAGGGUUCGAUUCCGGAGAGGGAGCCUGAGAAACGGCUACCACAUCUAAGGAAGGCAGCAGGCGCGCAAAUUACCCAAUCCCCGAUCGGGGAGGUAGUGACGAAAAAUAACAAUUCGGGACUUACGUUCCGUAAUUGGAAUGGGCACAACCCAAACAAUUGUGCGAGUAACAAGUUGUGGGCAAGCCUGGUGCCAGCAGCCGCGGUAAUUCCAGCGCAACUAGCGUAUGUGCGUGUUGCGGUUAAAAAGCUCGUAGUUGGAUCUGUGUGCAAGUUCUAUCGGCUAAUUUUAGUCGAGGGAAUCCUUGUACUCUUUUCUGCGCCGUUCCGGUGACCUUCAACAGUCGUCGGUUACGGCGUAGGCAAUUUUACUUUGAAAAAAUUAGAGUGUUUAAAGCGGGCGCAUGCCUGAAUAACUGAGCAUGGGAUAAUGGAAUAAGACCCGAUCACUUGUUCUUUGGUUCUUUGAUCGGUAAUGAUUAAUAGGGACAAGCGGGGGCAUUUGUAUUGCGACGUUAGAGGUGAAAUUCUUGGAUCGUCGCAAGACAAACUACAGCGAAAGCAUUUGCCAAGAAUGUUUUCAUUAAUCAAGAACGAAAGUUAGAGGAUUGAAGAGGAUCAGAUACCCUCGUAGUUCUAACCAUAAACGAUGCCAACUUGCGAUCCGCUGAAGUUAAUGUAUGACUUGCGGGCAGCUUCCGGUAAACCAAAGUUUGGUUCCGGGGGAAGUAUGGUUGCAAAGCUGAAACUUAAAGGAAUUGACGGAAGGGCACCACCAGGAGUGGAGCCUGCGGCUUAAUUUGACUCAACACGGGAAAACUCACCAGGUCCAGACAUUGUAAGGAUUGACAGACUGAAGUUCUUUCUCGAUUCUAUGGAUGGUGGUGCAUGGCCGUUCUUAGUUGGUGGAGUGAUUUGUCUGGUUAAUUCCGAUAACGAACGAGACCCCAACCUGCUAAAUAGUGGCUCCCUACGCGUAGGGAGAUUCGCUUCUUAGAGGGACUAGUGGCUCUUUAACCCCGUGAAGUGGGGUCAUAACAGGUCUGUGAUGCCCUUAGAUGUUCUGGGCUGCACGCGCGCUACACUGGUCGCCAUAAAAUGCUAUACCUGCGCGCUAUGCGCGUGGGCAAUCACCUAAUGGCAACCGUGAUUGGGAUAGAUUAUUGCAACUAUUGAUCUUGAACGAGGAAUUCCUAGUAAGCACGAGUCAUUAGCUCGUGUUGAUUACGUCCCUGCCCUUUGUACACACCGCCCGUCGCUACUACCGAUUGGACGCUGAAGCGAGUUCUAUGGAGGGUUCGAACAACCGCUUCGCGGAUGUUUGAGCACGAAAUAGCUCAAGCUUCGACGUCUAGAGGAAGUAAAAGUCGUAACAAG